Molecule: long non-coding RNA, 591 nt
Organism: Papaver somniferum (opium poppy)
Lineage: Eukaryota; Viridiplantae; Streptophyta; Magnoliopsida; Ranunculales; Papaveraceae
Exons: 3
Source: RefSeq, a predicted model, not a curated record
UCUCAAAGUUGGACUCUCACGAAGGACAUACCUCUGAUGUUUUCUCUGUAGGGGGUUGUCAAUGGAAAGUGCAGAUCUAUCCAAAGGGAGAGAGGGAAGUGUAUGAUUACUUAUCUUUGUACCUUGUCCCUGUGGAGUUGACGAAAACAAUGAACAUGGAGUUCAAUUUUGCAGUGACAAGUCAAAUCGAUCACAAUAUCAGUGUGCGAAUAGAAGGAAAAGACAAAUUCGGCAAAGAAGAUAAGCUCGGCUUGGGUUGGGCAACAUUCAUGCGUCUUACUGAACUCCAUGACCCUGCUAAAGGAUUUAUUGUGAACGAUAAGUGUCUCAUUACAGUUGAGAUUGCUGUGAAAGAGAGUGAACCAGCUGACAAGAUUUAGGAGACUAAACGUUACAAAAUCAAAGACGAAUGGCAGUAGGAUGAGAUUGCUGUGAUUUAUCAUGUCAUUUCAGUUUGUGGAGGUUAAUGGACGAUUCAUCGACUCCACCUUUGGCUUUGGCUACGGCUACUUCCAGUCAAAUGUCAAGUGCAGCACCAACCUCAGCAUCACCUCAAUCUGAACCUGAUGGGACACCCCAAUCUCAAUAUGU